Molecule: unclassified non-coding RNA, 21 nt
Filed under: Chlamydomonas reinhardtii
Lineage: Eukaryota; Viridiplantae; Chlorophyta; Chlorophyceae; Chlamydomonadales; Chlamydomonadaceae
Description: small RNA Cre_0547
Source: RNAcentral
AGGAUGAAGGAUACCCCGAUC